GAUGAAGAACGUAGCGAAAUGCGAUAAGUAAUGUGAAUUGCAGAAUUCAGUGAAUCAUCGAAUCUUUGAACGCACCUUGCGCUCCUUGGUAUUCCGAGGAGCAUGCCUGUUUGAGUGUCAUUUAAAUUCUCAAACCAGCUGGGUUGCUCUUGCUUCCCUGUUGGCUUUGGAUGUGGGGGUUUCUUUUGCUGGCUUUUCAUACAAGUCUGCUCCCCUGAAAUGCAUUAGCUGGUGUUUUUCUUUUGCCUGUCUAUUGGUGUGAUAACUAUCUGCGCCAUAGGGUGAAUAUUUCAAAAGCACUGCUUCUAACCGUCCUUUUGGACAGCAAAUGACAAUUUUGACCUCAAAUCAGGUAGGACUACCUGCUGAACUUAAGCAUAUCAAUAAGCGGAGGA
RNAcentral lists this unclassified non-coding RNA (395 nucleotides) under soil metagenome. RNAcentral's name for it is "partial contains 5.8S ribosomal RNA, internal transcribed spacer 2, and large subunit ribosomal RNA". The stretch from base 1 to 120 matches the Rfam family "5.8S ribosomal RNA", at positions 35 to 154 of the family's 154-position model. The record is from RNAcentral.